UACGUAGGGCGCAAGCGUUGUCCGGAAUUAUUGGGCGUAAAGAGCUCGUAGGCGGUUUGUCGCGUCUGCUGUGAAAUCCCGAGGCUCAACCUCGGGCUUGCAGUGGGUACGGGCAGACUAGAGUGCGGUAGGGGAGACUGGAAUUCCUGGUGUAGCGGUGGAAUGCGUAGAUAUCGGGAGGAACACCGGUGGCGAAGGCGGCGAUCUGGGUCGAUACUGACGCUGAGGUGCGAAAGCGUGGGGAGCAAACAGG
Molecule: ribosomal RNA, 253 nt
Filed under: uncultured bacterium
Lineage: Bacteria
Description: partial 16S ribosomal RNA
Rfam family: Bacterial small subunit ribosomal RNA
Source: RNAcentral